RNAcentral lists this ribosomal RNA (305 nucleotides) under uncultured bacterium. Its description in RNAcentral is "bacterial SSU rRNA". It matches the Rfam family "Bacterial small subunit ribosomal RNA", at positions 335 to 657 of the family's 1533-position model. The record is from RNAcentral.
UAACCUACGGGACGCAGCAGUGGGGAAUAUUGCACAAUGGGGGAAACCCUGAUGCAGCAACGCCGCGUGAGUGAAGAAGUAUUUCGGUAUGUAAAGCUCUAUCAGCAGGGAAGAAAAUGACAGUACCUGACUAAGAAGCCCCGGCUAACUACGUGCCAGCAGCCGCGGUAAUACGUAUGGAGCAAGCGUUAUCCGGAUUUACUGGGUGUAAAGGGAGCGUAGGCGGCAUACCAAGCCUGAUGUGAAAACCCGGGGCCCAACCCCGGGAGUGCAUUGGGAACUGGCAAGCUAGAGUGUCGGAGAGG